RNAcentral lists this ribosomal RNA (345 nucleotides) under Varanus acanthurus. Its description in RNAcentral is "partial 12S ribosomal RNA". The record is from RNAcentral. Lineage: Eukaryota; Metazoa; Chordata; Lepidosauria; Squamata; Varanidae.
UGUAUUAGAGCAGGUAUCAGGCUCAACAACGUUAGCCCAUUACACCUUGCCAAGCCACAUCCCCACGGAUAAACACAGCAGUGACCAACAUUAGGCAAUAAGUACACCAAACUUGACCUAGCCAAAACUCCCCCUGGCCGGCAAAUCUCGUGCCAGCAGCCGCGGUUACACGGGAGGCCACAGAUAAUUUAUAAACGGCGUAAAGAGUGAUCCCAGAUUUUAUUUUCACCUGCCAUCGGAUUCCAGAAUUUCAUCUUAGAGAUGAAACCCCAAGAUAUUAAGAACCCCUAAGAAUCUCGUCAACAGACCAUCUUACUCACGAAAACCAGGACACAAACUAGGAUU